UACGUAGGGUGCAAGCGUUGUCCGGAAUUAUUGGGCGUAAAGAGCUCGCAGGCGGCUUGUCGCGUCUGCUGUGAAAACUCGGGGCUUAACCCCGGGCCUGCAGUGGGUACGGGCAGACUAGAGUGCGGUAGGGGAGACUGGAAUUCCUGGUGUAGCGGUGAAAUGCGCAGAUAUCAGGAGGAACACCGGUGGCGAAGGCGGGUCUCUGGGCCGUAACUGACGCUGAGGAGCGAAAGCGUGGGGAGCGAACAGG
Molecule: ribosomal RNA, 253 nt
Filed under: uncultured bacterium
Lineage: Bacteria
Description: partial 16S ribosomal RNA
Rfam family: Bacterial small subunit ribosomal RNA
Source: RNAcentral